Molecule: transfer RNA, 73 nt
Filed under: Araneus ventricosus
Lineage: Eukaryota; Metazoa; Arthropoda; Arachnida; Araneae; Araneidae
Description: tRNA-Thr
Source: RNAcentral
AGCCACCAGAGAGGAUUGAACUGACAACCCCCGAUUUACAAGACCAGUGCUCUAACCACUGAGCUAUGGUGGU